This 755-nucleotide ribosomal RNA is filed under the name Cryocola sp. RNAcentral describes it as "bacterial SSU rRNA". It matches the Rfam family "Bacterial small subunit ribosomal RNA", at positions 49 to 815 of the family's 1533-position model. The record is from RNAcentral. Lineage: Bacteria; Bacillati; Actinomycetota; Actinomycetes; Micrococcales; Microbacteriaceae.
UAACACAUGCAAGUCGAACGAUGAACCUGGAGCUUGCUCUAGGGGAUUAGUGGCGAACGGGUGAGUAACACGUGAGUAACCUGCCCUUGACUCUGGGAUAACCUCCGGAAACGGAAGCUAAUACCGGAUACGACGUACGGAGGCAUCUCCUGUACGUGGAAAGAACUUCGGUCAAGGAUGGACUCGCGGCCUAUCAGGUAGUUGGUGAGGUAACGGCCCACCAAGCCUACGACGGGUAGCCGGCCUGAGAGGGUGACCGGCCACACUGGGACUGAGACACGGCCCAGACUCCUACGGGAGGCAGCAGUGGGGAAUAUUGCACAAUGGGCGCAAGCCUGAUGCAGCAACGCCGCGUGAGGGAUGACGGCCUUCGGGUUGUAAACCUCUUUUAGUAGGGAAGAAGCGAAAGUGACGGUACCUGCAGAAAAAGCACCGGCUAACUACGUGCCAGCAGCCGCGGUAAUACGUAGGGUGCGAGCGUUGUCCGGAAUUAUUGGGCGUAAAGAGCUCGUAGGCGGUCUGUCGCGUCUGCUGUGAAAACCCGAGGCUCAACCUCGGGCCUGCAGUGGGUACGGGCAGACUAGAGUGCGGUAGGGGAGAAUGGAAUUCCUGGUGUAGCGGUGGAAUGCGCAGAUAUCAGGAGGAACACCGAUGGCGAAGGCAGUUCUCUGGGCCGUAACUGACGCUGAGGAGCGAAAGCGUGGGGAGCGAACAGGAUUAGAUACCCUGGUAGUCCACGCCGUAAACGUUGGGCG